Molecule: ribosomal RNA, 815 nt
Filed under: uncultured bacterium
Lineage: Bacteria
Description: bacterial SSU rRNA
Rfam family: Bacterial small subunit ribosomal RNA
Source: RNAcentral
GAAUUCGCCCUUAGAGUUUGAUCCUGGCUCAGGAUGAACGCUGGCGGCGUGCUUAACACAUGCAAGUCGAACGAGAACUUGAGAGACUGAUUCUUCGGAUGAAGUCCCUUGAGGGAAAGUGGCGGACGGGCGAGUAACACGUGAGCAACCUACCCUUUACAGUGGAAUAACAAUCGGAAACGAUUGCUAAUACCGCAUAACAUAUACCUUAGGCAUCUUCGGUAUAUCAAAGAUUUAUCGGUAAUGGAUGGGCUCGCGUCUGAUUAGUUAGUUGGUGAGGUAAUGGCUCACCAAGACCGCGAUGGGUAGCCGGCCUGAGAGGGUGAACGGCCACACUGGAACUGAGACACGGUCCAGACUCCUACGGGAGGCAGCAGUGGGGAAUCUUGCACAAUGGGCGAAAGCCUGAUGCAGCGACGCCGCGUGAAUGAUGAAGGCCUUCGGGUCGUAAAAUUCUGUCCUAAGGGAAGAUAAUGACGGUACCUUAGGAGGAAGCACCGGCUAACUACGUGCCAGCAGCCGCGGUAAUACGUAGGGUGCAAGCGUUGUCCGGAAUUACUGGGCGUAAAGGGUUCGCAGGCGGCCUUUUAAGUCAGGCGUUAAAGAUCAUGGCUCAACCAUGGUAUGCGCUUGAAACUGAAAGGCUUGAGUCAAGGAGAGGAAAGUGGAAUUCCUAGUGUAGCGGUGAAAUGCGUAGAUAUUAGGAGGAAUACCAGUGGCGAAGGCGACUUACUGGUCUGUAAUUGACGCUGAGGCUCGAAAGCGUGGGUUAGCAAACAGGAUUAGAUUCCCCUGGUAAGUCCCCGCCGUAAACG